UACAGAGGUCUCAAGCGUUGUUCGGAUUCAUUGGGCGUAAAGGGUGCGUAGGUGGCGCGGUAAGUCGGGUGUGAAAUUUCGGAGCUUAACUCCGAAACUGCAUUCGAUACUGCCGUGCUUGAGGACUGGAGAGGAGACUGGAAUUUACGGUGUAGCAGUGAAAUGCGUAGAGAUCGGAAGGAACACCAGUGGCGAAGGCGGCUACCUGGACAGAUACUGACGCUGAGGCGCGAGAGCGUGGGGAGCAAACAGG
RNAcentral lists this ribosomal RNA (253 nucleotides) under uncultured bacterium. RNAcentral's name for it is "partial 16S ribosomal RNA". It matches the Rfam family "Bacterial small subunit ribosomal RNA", at positions 524 to 776 of the family's 1533-position model. The record is from RNAcentral.